This 67-nucleotide non-coding RNA is filed under the name Ancylobacter aquaticus. Lineage: Bacteria; Pseudomonadati; Pseudomonadota; Alphaproteobacteria; Hyphomicrobiales; Xanthobacteraceae. The record is from RNAcentral.
CGGCGAAACGGGCCUUUGAGCCCGUCGCGCGCGGGUGGUUCCGCGUGCCUGAUGAUGCCAGCCAGCG